GACGAACCGUGCGAACGUUAUUCGGAAUCACUGGGCUUAAAGCGCGUGUAGGCGGGAGGGCACGUCCGUCGCUGAAAUCCCCCGGCUCAACCGGGGAACGGGCACGGAUACGACCUUCCUGGAGGGGCGUAGGGGGACCUGGAACUUCCGGUGGAGCGGUGAAAUGCGUUGAGAUCGGAAGGAACGCCCGUGGCGAAAGCGAGGUCCUGGACGCCUGCUGACGCUGAGACGCGAAAGCCAGGGGAGCGAACGGG
RNAcentral lists this ribosomal RNA (254 nucleotides) under uncultured bacterium. RNAcentral describes it as "partial 16S ribosomal RNA". It matches the Rfam family "Bacterial small subunit ribosomal RNA", at positions 524 to 776 of the family's 1533-position model. The record is from RNAcentral.